Molecule: ribosomal RNA, 463 nt
Filed under: uncultured bacterium
Lineage: Bacteria
Description: bacterial SSU rRNA
Rfam family: Bacterial small subunit ribosomal RNA
Source: RNAcentral
GACGAACGCUGGCGGCGUGCCUAACACAUGCAAGUCGAACGGGGUAGAGAGCUUCGGUUUUCUACUUAGUGGCGAACGGGUGAGUAACGCGUGAGGAACCUGCCUUCCAGUGGGGGACAACAGUUGGAAACGACUGCUAAUACCGCAUAAUGUAGCGAGACCGCAUGAUCUUGCUACCAAAGCUUUAUGUGCUGGAAGAUGGCCUCGCGUCUGAUUAGCUAGUUGGUGAGGUAACGGCUCACCAAGGCGACGAUCAGUAGCCGGUCUGAGAGGAUGAACGGCCACAUUGGGACUGAGAUACGGCCCAGACUCCUACGGGAGGCAGCAGUGGGGAAUAUUGGGCAAUGGGCGCAAGCCUGACCCAGCAAUGCCGCGUGAAGGAAGACGGUUUUCGGAUUGUAAACUUCUUUUAAGAGGGACGAUAAUGACGGUACCUCUUGAAUAAGCCACGGCUAACUACGUG